GGGGAAAGAGCAGCCCUAUUGAGCAACAGGCAACAUUUGAAGUGUGUGUUAUGGCCUUAAAUACUGCUGCUCCCCACUAGAGCUUGGUGCAAUUACUGAAAUUCAGGCAAUGUUACUGGCAGUUGCUGGCAGUGCUGAACCUUGAUCUCCACUGCCCUAAUGCAAGAUUAAAACGGCACGUGCAACUCUGUUGAUGCUAAAGUGGCAAAGAAAACAACCAGGAAUUAUUCAAUGUGGAAAAAGAUGUGUCCACCAAAUGGGAAUUUGGCAGCUCCGUGCCUCUCAUCUUUCAUCUCCUAAAUACAGAUGACAGUCUAUCAGAGCACAAGGACAGCGACAUGAAGGGACGCGGCUCCCUCUGCUGGACAUUCCUGCAGAAUUGAGGCACAUCCCCCCAGAGAUGUGUGAGAUGAGCAGUGCUGUUUCACCUCCUUAUUCAUCAUGAGGCUUAUUUUAAGGAAGAAAACCCUUCCACAGCAAGAUAAGAACCCGGAGACUGCUGUUGCUGUCAGGGUUUCAUGCUGGAUGAGCUCUUUCUUGGGAUGCGUGCCAUUUGGCCAAUAUUGUUGCAGCCCAUUUUGCCUCAGAAAACUACAAAAAUGUCAAUUGUUGCUCCACGCAAAGACAUGGAGGGAGAGGAUCCAGCCACACCAUCCCCAGUUCCAUAUAGAAACAUUUCAAAUGCA
Vidua macroura (Pin-tailed whydah) is the source of this 686-nucleotide long non-coding RNA. RefSeq lists it as uncharacterized. Lineage: Eukaryota; Metazoa; Chordata; Aves; Passeriformes; Viduidae. The transcript is spliced from 2 exons. The record is from RefSeq and is a predicted model, not a curated record.